GAAGACAAAGAUGAGAGAGUGGCUCUCAAGGCUGUCAAAAAUGGGAGCUGCAGAUGAGUUGACAGAACAGCAGGCCCGUCAACUCCAUUUCGAUCUUGAAUCAUCAUACAAUUCUUUCAUGGCGGCACUGCCCUCUGCUGGAACUUAAUUGCUUAUUUCAGAUCCAUAUAUCGUAAGGGGUCCAGAUACGUAGCUACAAUAUUAGGCCAAACAGCUAGGAAUAUGUAAUGAAGCUGCUGUCUCAGUCCCUAGCUAUUUACUUUCAUUCAAAGUUAAUAACUACAAGACACUGGUCUGGACCACUUACCAUCAACAUGUUAACUAUUUGUGUUCCUUUUGUGAGCAGCUAGAGGAGAAGUAGAUGAUCAUCAACAGUGAAACUAAUUGUACUAUAAAAAGUGGGGAGACUAUCGAUUAAUGCAUUUGUACUACUUUGUGUUUUAUGUCAUUCUGGUCGUCUAUUUGAUUUGUUUGUCUAUUCAUUAGCUAAAAAACAAC
This 498-nucleotide unclassified non-coding RNA is filed under the name Hevea brasiliensis (rubber tree). Lineage: Eukaryota; Viridiplantae; Streptophyta; Magnoliopsida; Malpighiales; Euphorbiaceae. The record is from RNAcentral.